RNAcentral lists this ribosomal RNA (800 nucleotides) under uncultured bacterium. RNAcentral describes it as "bacterial SSU rRNA". It matches the Rfam family "Bacterial small subunit ribosomal RNA", at positions 8 to 822 of the family's 1533-position model. The record is from RNAcentral.
AGAGUUUGAUCAUGGCUCAGAAUCAACGCUGGCGGCGUGCCUCAGACAUGCAAGUCGAACGAUUAAGACUCUCUUCGGAGAGUGUAUAAAGUGGCGCACGGGUGAGUAACACGUAGGUAAUGUGCCUUUGGGUGGGGAAUAACUUAGGGAAACUUAAGCUAAUACCGCAUAAUGCAGCGGCUCGACAUCGAGACAGUUGUUAAAGAUUUAUCGCCUAAAGAGCAGCCUGCGGCAGAUUAGCUAGUUGGUAAGGUAAUGGCUUACCAAGGCUACGAUCUGUAACCGACCUGAGAGGGUGGUCGGUCACACUGACACUGAAUAACGGGUCAGACUCCUACGGGAGGCAGCAGUCGGGAAUUUUGGGCAAUGGGCGAAAGCCUGACCCAGCAACGCCGCGUGAAGGAUGAAGUAUUUCGGUAUGUAAACUUCGUAAGAAUAGGAAGAAUAAAUGACGGUACUAUUUGUAAGGUCCGGCUAACUACGUGCCAGCAGCCGCGGUAAUACGUAGGGACCAAGCGUUGUUCGGAUUUACUGGGCGUAAAGGGCGCGUAGGCGGCGUGGUAAGUCAGCUGUGAAAUCUCCGAGCUUAACUCGGAACGGUCAGCUGAUACUGCUGUGCUAGAGUACAGAAAGGGCAAUCGGAAUUCUUGGUGUAGCGGUGAAAUGCGUAGAUAUCAAGAGGAACACCUGAGGCGAAGGCGGGUUGCUAGGCUGAUACUGACGCUGAAGCGCGAAAGCUAGGGUAGCAAACGGGAUUAGAUACCCCGGUAGUCCUAGCCCUAAACGAUGUAUGCUUGGUG